GAUGAACGCUGGCGGCGUGCCUCAAACAUGCAAGUCGAGCGGGGCUAUGUAAUAUCGCAAGGUAGAACAUAGCCUAGCGGCGAACGGGUGAGUAACACGUGGGUAACCUGCCUGGAAGACAGGGAUAACGAUUCGAAAGGGUCGCUAAUACCUGAUAAUAUCCUUUCAUCGCAUGGUGAUAGGAAGAAAGGGGAAACCCGCUUUCAGAUGGGCCCGCGUCCCAUCAGCUAGUUGGUAAGGUAAAGGCUUACCAAGGCGACGACGGGUAGCCGGUCUGAGAGGAUGUACGGCCACACUGGGACUGAGAUACGGCCCAGACUCCUACGGGAGGCAGCAGUUGGGAAUCUUCCGCAAUGGGCGCAAGCCUGACGGAGCGACGCCGCGUGAGGGAAGAAGGCCUUCGGGUUGUAAACUCUGUCAUGGGGAGAAGUAAGUGACGGUACCCAAGAGGAAGCCCCUGCUAACUACGUG
RNAcentral lists this ribosomal RNA (471 nucleotides) under uncultured bacterium. RNAcentral's name for it is "bacterial SSU rRNA". It matches the Rfam family "Bacterial small subunit ribosomal RNA", at positions 28 to 507 of the family's 1533-position model. The record is from RNAcentral.